This 29-nucleotide non-coding RNA is filed under the name Mus musculus (house mouse). The record is from RNAcentral. Lineage: Eukaryota; Metazoa; Chordata; Mammalia; Rodentia; Muridae.
GUCAGUGGAAUGUGAGUGAUCAUUUGCAC